UUUAGCUCGGGUAUAACUAAGAACUAACUAUUAUAGAAAUAGGUGCAAAUACGGAGAUAAGUAAAAUAGUAUUUGGAUAAAAAUUAGAUUAUUUUCGGGGAUAAGAAAAAUAGCGUUUGGAUAGAUAAUAUGAAAUAAGAAAAAUAGUGGAUAGUUAUAUAUAGAAAUGAAGGUGUUGGUCGGAAUAGUUAUACAAACUUAUUCUAGAUAUUCAAGAACUACUAUUCUCUAGUAAAAAAUUUACGUUUGAAUAUAAAUGAGGGGAUAAGAGGUUAUC
Molecule: long non-coding RNA, 277 nt
Filed under: Ananas comosus (pineapple)
Lineage: Eukaryota; Viridiplantae; Streptophyta; Magnoliopsida; Poales; Bromeliaceae
Description: long non-coding RNA (ACOM_LNC001595)
Source: RNAcentral